This 2357-nucleotide unclassified non-coding RNA is filed under the name Diabrotica virgifera virgifera (western corn rootworm). RNAcentral describes it as "uncharacterized LOC114349516". The record is from RNAcentral. Lineage: Eukaryota; Metazoa; Arthropoda; Insecta; Coleoptera; Chrysomelidae.
GGCCAAUUAUUAUCCAGCAAUCAGGACUAAUAUAAUUGGCCAAUAUAAUUAAAAGUGCGAAUAAAAGUACAGAGCGUAGAAAUAGAGGUCGCUUUGCCGAACUUGCACGGUCCCAAUACGAAAAAAUGCGAUUAAAUUCGAAAAUGCGACCCCUAGAGCCGGCCCUGGCGAUACCCAAUACGCAACACGAAACGCGCAACAGCCAAUACAUAUUGCCACAUCGCCAGUAUGUGUUCCUGUAUGCAUAGGAUUCCUGGAACUUUGUUCACUGACAAAACGGGGCUAAAGCUAAAGGUCGUCCACCCAAAAUCACGCCACGUGCAACAUUCGGUGCAUAUCUUCCCUCAGUGUUUGUUGUGCGAUUCCGAUUCUUUAUAUUUUGUAGAAAAUGGCGGUGGCGUGGGACGAUUCCUUAUUUAACAUUAAGUUUGUUCGUGUUGUUGAAAGGCACCCGUGCAUUUGGAAUUUCAAUUUACAGGAAUAUAGCAAAAGGGAUACAACAGAGAAAGCGUGGGCGGAGAUCGCAGAAGAAAUAAACGAAACAGUAUCCAAUUGCCGCGAACGCUGGAGGAACAUCCGGACAGCGUUUCUUCGGUCACUGAAGACACCACCAGACAGAUCUGCGAAAAAUUCCAAAAAAAGAUAUUACUUAAGUAAGUACCUGCAGUUCCUAGUUCCAUAUACAAAAAGAAAAAAACUCUUCGGCAAUCUGGAAGCACAGGCUGAUUUUGAUUACAGUGAUCCUAUGGAUGAUGAAACUAAUCAAGUUGCAGAACUUCCUGAAGGUCUCGAAACAGACACAAAAGAUAAUGUAAGAACUCAGUCUCCAAAUCCAUCAAUUUCCUCACGUUAUGUGACAGAGGAAUCAGAUACUGAAGAAAUGAUACUGACUCAUAGUCAUCUUUAUAAAAAGAAACAAUUCUAUCAGCAAACAUCAUCAAAUUCAUCAAAAUCCACUCCGGAUGAUGAUGCUUCCAGAGCUUUCGUUGAAUGGGUCAAACAAAAAGAGAAUAAAAACAAUGCUGAAGAAAAUCCCAAUCUUCUUUUCUUACGCAGUUUAUUACCGGACAUGAUGAAAAUGACAGAGAAACAAAAUAGAAGAUUUCGCCAGAAAGUUAUCGGGUUAAUGGGUGAAAUACUUGAAGAUGAAGACAUUGAUAGACUGGCCUGUUCUACUUCUUCAGGAACUUACGCUACGACCAGUAUGCACUGAAGUGUACGCGAAGCCAUGGCUAAAACUAGAUUUUAUGUUAGAUUCCUAUUUGACAUGACCAACUUAUUAUCUCCCUCGGGAGAUAAACAGAGUAGAUAUUAUAAGGUUAAAAUACUUGGCUGCGUUUCGGCUCAACACGAGCCAUCAUCAGCAACUACAGGAACAACCAACCUACAACACAUUUUUUCUUCUUCUUCAGGUGCCAUCUCCGCUACGGAGGUUGCCAAUCAUCAUAGCUAUUUUAAUUUUUGAGGCAGUAGCUCUAAAUAGUUGUUUUGAGCUGCAUCCAAACCAUUCUCGCAGGUUCUUCAGUCAUGAAAUUCGUCCUCUUCCGAUGCUUCCUCUGCCAUCUAUCUUUCCUUGCAUUAUGAGUCGCAGGAUGCAAUACUUCUCGCCCCGCAUCACAUGUCCGAGAUACUGUAGUUUUCUUUCUUUAAUUUUAAGUUCAACUUCCUUCUCUUUACCUAUUCUUCUUAGUACUUCGUUGUUCGUAACUCUAUCUACCCAGGAAACCCUCAUAAUUCUUCUAUAGGUCCACAUUUCAAAGGCGUUAAGUCGUCUCAUUGUCUCUACAUUUAACGUCCAUGAUUCCACUCCAUAGUAUAGUACACUGUAUACGUAACAUUUUGUUAGACGUACUUUCAGAGCUAAUGUUAAAUCUUUGCUACAUAGGACCUUUUUCAUUUUCAUAAAAUUAGAACGUGCUUUUUCGAUUCUGACUUUUGAUUUCUGCAGUGCAGUUAUUAUUUUCUGUUAUCAGUGUUCCUAGGUAAGUGUACUUUUUUACUCUUUCGAUCUGCUGGCCCUCUACUAUCAAGUAGAGGUGUGUAUCACACAUUUUUUAUAUUAUUAAAAUAAGUGAAAAAAUUUGGAGAGACAACUCCCACCUCAGUCUAGAAACUUACCAACAGUAAGGGGCCAUCCAUUAAUCACGUGAGGCUCAAAAGGGGGGAGGGGUCUAUCAAAAAUCACGAAAUGUCACAAUACACGUGAUAUACAGGGACUUAAAACUCAUAAUGUAUCACCAAGGGGGAGGGGGAGUUAAAAAAUACCAAAAAAAACCUCACUUAGGCUCGGUCCAAUUAAAAUACAACAUACAGAUUAAAAAUUAAGUAAACUUAAGAAAAAUUUCAGGUAAAGAUAA